This 391-nucleotide long non-coding RNA is filed under the name Brachypodium distachyon (stiff brome). RNAcentral describes it as "long non-coding RNA (BDIS_LNC005139)". The record is from RNAcentral. Lineage: Eukaryota; Viridiplantae; Streptophyta; Magnoliopsida; Poales; Poaceae.
AAACCAUGAUACAGUACCUCAUAAGGGUGAAAAGGUCCCCACGAAAAAAACAAGGUGAAGAGGUCAGGUGGCCAGUGCAAGCACGAGGGAGAUUUAGCUCCUGGUUUGGUGCGAUAAUUCAAAAGUUACGGGACCAAAUAAUUCCAUACGUCCAACCAUCCAAGCAUUAACAUGAUUAACAAUGUACCCAUGGUACCACUAUCCUGUUAUUAAGUAUAAGUAUGUUCGAGUAAAAUAUGAGCACGGCUCUUCCAGGGACGUCUUCAAUACUGAUAUAGUGGUAUGAGACCAUGCACAACUAAAAUUCGUUUCACUCUAAUAUACGUCUUGGCUGAAUUCUGCAGCGGUAUUGUCUUGGAUAAUACCAAUAUGGCUUUGGCACCGGCCAACU